UCUUCCUUCUUUCCGCUGUGAGUUUUCCUGGAGUAGAGAUCGUGAACAACAUCUCGCGACGUUAACGGCGUCGGUCACGUUUUCGUAUUCGGCGAAUACGAAUUCUCGUUUAUAGAAGAUAUACGAGAAGAGCCAAAUAUGUCGGAAGAUACGAAAAAUCAGGAUAAUUUAAAACCUAAGAUGGAAAAUAAUGAUAAUUCUCAUCAAGGUGGUGGAGGAGGCGGUGGUGGUGGACCACCAGGACGUGGUGGACGCGGAGGUGGAAGAAGAGGAGGAGGUAAUAGCAGAUUUUCCGGUGGCCGUGGCGGAGGAGGAAUGGGAGGCGGCAGAAACAUGGAUGGAAAUAUGAAAAUGAGUGAAUCAAUGAUGGAUCCAGAUAUGGAAGGAAUGGACAGAGGGGGCCCAAUGGGUGGUGGUGGAAUGGGGGGAGGAAUGGGUCGUGGUGGAGGAAUGCGAGGUAGAGGACGCGGUGGUGGUGGCGGUGGCGGAGGUCCCGGAAGAGGAAUGGGAAACAUGAUGUCGCAGGAUGAUCGUUUAUUGGAGCGAGUAAUGAGUAUAAGUGGUCCAACGCACGAUUUACCACCUCAGGAUUGUACAGAAAAGAAAUUUAAUGGUCGAAAUCGUUUAUACAUUGGAAAUUUAACCAAUGACGUUACCGAAGAUGAAAUGAAAGAAAUGUUCGCACCUCAUGGUGAGGUUUCGGAAAUUUUCAUCAAUAAGGAGAAAAAUUUCGCCUUUUUAAAAAUGGAUUAUCGAUUAAAUGCCGAAAAAGCGAAACACGAAUUGGAUGGUAGUCAAAGAAAGGGACGCGCCCUUAAGGUUCGCUUUGCCCCAAGUUCCAGUGCCGUGAAGGUGAAAAAUCUAACACCCUGGGUAUCAAAUGAAUUAUUGGAGAAGGCAUUCAGUGUAUUUGGUGAUCUUGAACGUGCAAUUGUCAUUGUUGACGAGAGAGGAAAGUCAACUGGCGAAGGAAUUGUUGAAUUUUGCAGAAAACAGAGUGCACAAACGGCAUUGAGAAAAUGCACCGAUGGAUGUUACUUUUUAACAGCAUCAUUGCGUCCAGUUGUUGUUGAACCAUUUGAACAACAAGACGACAUUGACGGAUAUCCGGAUAAAAAUUUGCCAAAGAAAAAUCCGGAAUUUUAUAAAUCUCGCGAUGUUGGUCCUCGUUUUGCUCAAAUUGGUAGUUUUGAACACGAGUACGGAACAAAAUGGAAACAAUUACACGAACUCUGUAAGCAGAAAGAAGUGGCUCUAAAACGUGAAAUGGUCAUGGAGGAAGAAAAACUUGAAGCACAAAUGGAAUUUGCGCGUUAUGAACAUGAGACUGAAAUGUUGCGAGAGCAAUUAAGAUUACGGGAAGCUGAUCGCGAUAGACAAAAGCGUGAAUACGAAAUGAAGGAACGACAAGUUGAAGAAGUUCGUACACGUGAAGAGGAAUUAAGAAGACGUCAACAGGAAGAGAUGACAAAUCGCAUCAGGAGACAAGAAGAGGAACUUCAUAGAAGACAGCAGGAAAAUAACUUGUUCAUGCAAGAACAAGCAAUGAGAGGAGGCGUUGGAGGUGGCGGCGGUGGUGGAGCAGGAGUUAAAAAUUAUGAUUCAGUUGGAAACAACGAUCGUGAAGGUUAUGGAACGUCUGAUGGUGGAAACAACAUGCCAAUGGACUAUCCUUUUGAAUCUGCGAAUGCAUAUUUAAAAAAGGUGCGUGUUGCGGACUAUCUUGGAUCAUUCAAAUGAAGAAUUACACAUGAAAUGGAAAUUCAAUUAAAUUUUCACUGGAAUUAGAAAGGAAGAAAUAAAAGGGUUGAAAACCUGAUUUCUUUGAAUGGAUAUUGGAAUUCAGAAAUCAAUUCAAAUUAAUUCUCAUCAUGCCGAGUAUUUCAUUUUGGAUAUGGAAAAUCUGGCUUGGGAAAACUCGUUGAGAGAACGAGGUUGAAGAACCUUUUUCAUGAAGAAGUUACAAAAUGGGAGAAGAUAAAGAGAAAAAAAUUUCGGAACACAUCGCAAGGAACUUAAAGAAAAAUUGGAGGUUUCAAGGAUAAAAAAUGGAAAAAAAGAUUUGUUCAUUAACAAAUGAAAUUGAAUAAAAACUACUAGAGAAAAAAACUGAGGAUAAAAAAUAUUGGAUAUACUCUUACAAAUUUAUAAGAUAAAAAUGUUCGAGUGACCCGGUUUGGAAUAUGAAUUAGAAGCGGAAAACUUUGCUUCAUAGAUAUGGAGCCUUGUUAGCAAGAGAGACUGUUGAAAUUUAUUUAAAAAAAGAUUUUCAGUGACUGAAAAGCUUCAAAUUUGUCGUUGCAAAAAAAAAUCAAGAUUAACCAGAAUAAAUAAAAGCUCAAUUUUUUGCAGUUCAUAAAUUUAAAAAAAAAAACCGAACAUUUAUUGUUUCUGUAUUUAAUUUUAAAUAAAUGUUAUUUAUUAUAAA
Molecule: RNA transcript, 2428 nt
Organism: Leptopilina boulardi
Lineage: Eukaryota; Metazoa; Arthropoda; Insecta; Hymenoptera; Figitidae
Gene name: hrp65 protein-like
Exons: 16
Source: RefSeq, a predicted model, not a curated record